Molecule: ribosomal RNA, 478 nt
Filed under: uncultured bacterium
Lineage: Bacteria
Description: bacterial SSU rRNA
Rfam family: Bacterial small subunit ribosomal RNA
Source: RNAcentral
GACGACGCUGGCGGCGUGCCUAACACAUGCAAGUCGAGCGAAGCUUAAGCCUUCAGCUUGCUGUUGGCUUAAGACUUAGCGGCGAACGGGUGAGUAACGCGUGGGUGACCUACCCAGGAGACCGGGAUAACAGCUCGAAAGGGCUGCUAAUACCGGAUGACAUCCUGCUCGUUUUGGGGGUAGGAUCAAAGCGUUAUGUAGCGCUUCUGGAUGGGCCCGCGUCCCAUUAGCUAGUUGGUGAGGUAACGGCUCACCAAGGCGACGAUCGGUAGCCGGACUGAGAGGUUGGACGGCCACAUUGGGACUGAGACACGGCCCAGACUCCUACGGGAGGCAGCAGUGGGGAAUAUUGGGCAAUGGGGGAAACCCUGACCCAGCAACGCCGCGUGAAGGACGAAGGCCUUCGGGUUGUAAACUUCUUUGAUCAGGGACGAAAGCGAUGACGGUACCUGAGGAACAAGCCACGGCUAACUACGUG